UUUUUUUUUUCUUCUUUCUUCUUUGGAUCUGCAUUUCUUUGGGGAUUUGUAGCGUUUUUAACAAUUUUGUUUUCGUUUCUGUUAGAUUUGUGAUAAUGUAUUGUUUCUUUCUUCUAAUUUUGUCAUGGAAAAGCUAGAUCUGUGUGUAUUUGUUAUUUGCCUUUAGACGUAGAAUCGGAUCUGUGAGGUUUGAUUGUGUGCUGUUAUUGCUUAAGAUCUGGUUUUUAAUAUGGUUUGAAUAUGUGAGUAAUGGGCUAUUGAUAUGUUUUGGAAUUUGUUUUCUUUGUUCAGCCUGAUGGCCAGAUGCCAG
This 310-nucleotide unclassified non-coding RNA is filed under the name Hevea brasiliensis (rubber tree). The record is from RNAcentral. Lineage: Eukaryota; Viridiplantae; Streptophyta; Magnoliopsida; Malpighiales; Euphorbiaceae.